UUUCCGUAGGUGAACCUGCGGAAGGAUCAUUAUUGUAUAACCGAGGUGCGAGGGCUGUCGCUGACCCGAAAGGUCGUGCACGCCCGAGUGCCCUCACUCACAUCCAUCUCACCCCUAUGUGCACCACCGCGUGGGUCCCCCUUUGGCUUGUUCGGAGGGGGGCUUACGUUUUCACACAAACUUUGUAUGCAGUGUAGAAUGUAUUUUUUGUUUUUGCGAUCACGCAAUCAAUAUAACUUUCAACAACGGAUCUCUUGGCUCUC
Molecule: unclassified non-coding RNA, 263 nt
Filed under: plant metagenome
Description: partial contains small subunit ribosomal RNA, internal transcribed spacer 1, and 5.8S ribosomal RNA
Source: RNAcentral